This 120-nucleotide small nuclear RNA is filed under the name Schizopora paradoxa. RNAcentral describes it as "Hyphodontia paradoxa U5 spliceosomal RNA". It matches the Rfam family "U5 spliceosomal RNA". From Rfam's summary of the family: U5 RNA is a component of both types of known spliceosome. The precise function of this molecule is unknown, though it is known that the 5' loop is required for splice site selection and p220 binding, and that both the 3' stem-loop and the Sm site are important for Sm protein binding and cap methylation. Lineage: Eukaryota; Fungi; Basidiomycota; Agaricomycetes; Hymenochaetales; Schizoporaceae. The record is from Rfam by way of RNAcentral.
UGCGGCUGUGGGUGGUGCAAAUAACCAAUGCCCUCGCCUUUUACUAGGGCAUUCCGUGUCCCACCCUCGCAUUCAAGCCGCUAUACGAAUUUUUCAGCAAAAAGCUCUGUUCUGAGCAUG